Molecule: long non-coding RNA, 1938 nt
Organism: Lynx canadensis (Canada lynx)
Lineage: Eukaryota; Metazoa; Chordata; Mammalia; Carnivora; Felidae
Source: Ensembl
AAAACAUGGAGGGGAGGGAAUUUGCAACACUACAUUUCCUGAUGAGGAAAGGGGGAAGACAGUGUGUCUCAGGCAGGGACUGAUGCUUCCUUCAUGUCUUUCUCAGAAACCAUGAUUCUGACGUGGACUCUUUUGCUUCUGCUGCUAGAUCAGACUGUUUUCUCCCAGGCCUAGGACUUCUAUGGUGGAAUCAGAGCUCCUGGAGGUCCAGUUCACCAUGGGGGUCUAGUUGAUAUGGCCAGGGAGCGUGAAUCUGAUGUGGACCUUCCUCCACCUUCUCUUCCUGGAGCAAACUCUUCACCCCAGGCCUGCUCUCCUCUACAAAACAUACAGACAACACCAGGUCCUGGGUCCCUGGAGGAUACCACCGAUACUGUGAGGUGAUGGUGAAGUGAUGGUGGCUGAUGCACAGGGGUAAAUGCAAGACGAUCAACACCUUCAUUCAUGAGGAUGUGGCCACGUUGGCAUAUUUCUGCAGAAUUCCACUUCUGCCCUCUACCAACAGCUGCUGCGUGCACAACGGUCACAAAGUGCGCACCAUGCCCAAAGACCCCUGAGAUCAAGAGUUGCAUGCUUUAUCCUUGGAGCCAUCCAGGUGCCCCUACACAAUCCAUUUCUGAAGGCAGUUUUUCUACCCACAAGAGGGAGAAUCUGUAGGUGACUUUCUUCUCUACCCUGUGACUCCACCAAAAUCGUGUCAAGGCUUUAAAUCAAAGGAAGGCACCUGACUCUAGGGCACCCAUCCACGGACUGACAGUCUGGGUGCCCAUGAAAGAAACUGGUCUGGAGAUUUUACUGUCCUGGAAUAAGGCUGACAAAACUGGAUACUCUUAUUUUCAUUUCCCCCCAUAAUUCCAGGAGCUGUGAUUGUAUUGUCUUUGUUUGUGACCUUUAGCACGUAGCCUAUUGCUUGCUAUAAGAGAGCUUUCAAUAAAUCUUUAAUGGGCCAUUGUAAUAGGUCCUGCUGGUGCUAAGGAUUUUUUGCAGAUUCUGUUUUCAGAAUGGGAAAGUUCCCUUCCCUUCUGCUCUCCGUUUCCACCUGUAAAUGGAUUGUGAAUUUUGUUGAAUAAUUUUUCUUCAUCUGAUGACACAGUCAUAUACUAUUUCCAUCCUAAUCAGUUAAUGGAGUGGAAUUGAAUAAAAUUUCUGGACAUAAGCAACUCCAUUUUGAAGCUCUAUUUUCCUUGUCAACUAAUGAACUCUUGGACUGGGCCAGAAGCCACAAUGGUUUUACAAGCAGUUCCUCAUAAAAUUUCAAAUGAGCAACUGGCAUUAGGAUCAUGUGAGGACAGGAAAGUUAAUUAAUACAUACCAGUGACCGUUUCAUUUGAUAGCACCAAUAAAGUAAUCAGUAAGAUAGUAAUCAGAAGCGGUUCAAUCAAUUAGCACCAAAUUACCUGUUUUUUUUCUUCCUUCUCUUAUCUAAAGCAUGUAAUUACCCCUUCCUUCUUUCUCAUAAAAAACCCCCAGCUUUCCCCACCUGAGGGGGCACUUUUCUGGUUACCCUUAAAUCUAGUCCCACAUUGUAACUCUGAGACCCCAAAUAAAAGCCUUUGCUCUUCUUCUUUUUCUUUUAAAAUUUAUUUAUUUAUUAUGAGAGAGAAAGAGAAAAAGAGAACGGGGUAGGGGCAAAGAGAGAGGAGAGAGAGAAUCUCAAGCAGGAUCUGCAUUGUCAGGGAAGAGCCUGAUUCCAGGCUCUAUCCCACAAACCACAAAAUCAUGACCUGAGCAGAAAUCAAGAGUCAGAUGUUCAGUGGACUGAGCCACCCAGGUGCCCCACCUUUGUUCUUUUUCACUUCUGCCUUCUUUUCUUGGUUAAUUCUGGGUGAAUUGCAUUAGUUGAUUUUAGACUAUUAAACCAGCUUUGAGAUAAAUCCAUUUUGGUUAUGCUAAACUGUCUUUUUAUAUAUAAAUGAAUUUACUUUGCUAAUAUUUAAG